UACGGAGGGUGCAAGCGUUAUCCGGAUUCACUGGGUUUAAAGGGUGCGUAGGAGGGCAGGUAAGUCAGUGGUGAAAUCCCCGAGCUUAACUUGGGAACUGCCGUUUAUACUAUCUGUCUUGAAUACCGUGGAGGUGAGCGGAAUAUGUCAUGUAGCGGUGAAAUGCUUAGAUAUGACAUAGAACACCAAUUGCGAAGGCAGCUCGCUACACGAAUAUUGACUCUGAGGCACGAAAUCGUGGGGAUCAAACAGG
RNAcentral lists this ribosomal RNA (253 nucleotides) under uncultured bacterium. Its description in RNAcentral is "partial 16S ribosomal RNA". It matches the Rfam family "Bacterial small subunit ribosomal RNA", at positions 524 to 776 of the family's 1533-position model. The record is from RNAcentral.